GGAGGCCGCGGGGCUCGGCAGGCAGGCGAAGACCCAGCGUCGCAUUGCAGAGUCGAGACGACCUGGGCUGCCGUGACGCCGCAGUCGCCGGCCCUAGUUUCCCCCGCCCUGCCCGAGCGCGUCCGCGCCUCUCGCCCGAAUCCGGGUACCACCGGCGACUCGGGUCGGCCCCUUCUGGCUUGUUCCGGCGUCCGGCCUGGCA
RNAcentral lists this long non-coding RNA (202 nucleotides) under Homo sapiens (human). Its description in RNAcentral is "HSALNT0113152". Lineage: Eukaryota; Metazoa; Chordata; Mammalia; Primates; Hominidae. The record is from RNAcentral.